This 236-nucleotide ribosomal RNA is filed under the name uncultured bacterium. RNAcentral's name for it is "partial 16S ribosomal RNA". It matches the Rfam family "Bacterial small subunit ribosomal RNA", at positions 118 to 347 of the family's 1533-position model. The record is from RNAcentral.
UGAGCAAUCUGCCCUUCUCUUCGGAAUAAGCGUUGGAAACGACGUCUAAUGCCGAAUACGACCUCCUUUCGCAUGAUCGGAGGUGGAAAGCUCCGGCGGAGAAGGAUGAGCUCGCGGCCUAUCAGCUAGUUGGUGUGGGUAAUGGCCCACCAAGGCGACGACGGGUAGCCGGCCUGAGAGGGCGAUCCGGCCACACGUGGGACUGAGACACGGCCCAGACCUCCGUACGGGAGCAG